Molecule: ribosomal RNA, 468 nt
Filed under: uncultured bacterium
Lineage: Bacteria
Description: partial 16S ribosomal RNA
Rfam family: Bacterial small subunit ribosomal RNA
Source: RNAcentral
GACGAACGCUGGCGGCGUGCUUAACACAUGCAAGUCGUACGGAAAGGCCCUGCUUUUGUGGGGUGCUCGAGUGGCGAACGGGUGAGUAACACGUGAGUAACCUGCCCUUGACUUUGGGAUAACUUCAGGAAACUGGGGCUAAUACCGGAUAGGAGCUCCUGCUGCAUGGUGGGGGUUGGAAAGUUUCGGCGGUUGGGGAUGGACUCGCGGCGUAUCAGCUUGUUGGUGGGGUAGUGGCUUACCAAGGCUUUGACGGGUAGCCGGCCUGAGAGGGUGACCGGCCACAUUGGGACUGAGAUACGGCCCAGACUCCUACGGGAGGCAGCAGUGGGGAAUAUUGCACAAUGGGCGGAAGCCUGAUGCAGCAACGCCGCGUGCGGGAUGACGGCCUUCGGGUUGUAAACCGCUUUCGCCUGUGACGAAGCGUGAGUGACGGUAAUGGGUAAAGAAGCACCGGCUAACUACGUG